AACGCACAUUGCGCCGGCUAGCACUCUAGCAGGCAUGCCUAUUCGAGCGUCACCUACAAUCGCCAAGCGCUUGCUUGUGUUGGAGCGCUGCGGAUGCAUUCCGCACGCUCUGAAAACCAGUAGCAGCACCGCUGCUGCGCCCAGUGUAGUUACUGUCCCAAACGCUGUGGUGCGUAGCGGUUGCUCGCUCCGGAUACGGUGGUGGCAUACAUGCAUGACCUCGAAUUAGGUAGGAAUACCCGCUGAACUUAA
Molecule: unclassified non-coding RNA, 252 nt
Filed under: uncultured fungus
Lineage: Eukaryota; Fungi
Description: sequence contains ITS2
Source: RNAcentral